GAUGAACGCUAGCUACAGGCUUAACACAUGCAAGUCGAGGGGAAACGACAUCGAAAGCUUGCUUUUGAUGGGCGUCGACCGGCGCACGGGUGAGUAACGCGUAUCCAACCUGCCCAUCACUUGGGAAUAACCUUGCGAAAGUAAGACUAAUACCCAAUGACAUCCCACGAAGACAUCUGAAUGGGAUUAAAGAUUUAUCGGUGAUGGCUGGGGAUGCGUCUGAUUAGCUUGUUGGCGGGGUAACGGCCCACCAAGGCAACGAUCAGUAGGGGUUCUGAGAGGAAGGUCCCCCACAUUGGAACUGAGCCACGGUCCAAACUCCUACGGGAGGCAGCAGUGAGGAAUAUUGGACAAUGGGCGAGAGCCUGAACCAGCCAAGUAGCGUGCAGGAUGACGGCGCUAUGGGUUGUAAACUGCUUUUAUAAGGGAAUAAAGUGGGUCUCGUGAGACUUUUUGCAUGUACCUUAUGAAUAAGGACCGGCUAAUUCCGUG
RNAcentral lists this ribosomal RNA (492 nucleotides) under uncultured bacterium. Its description in RNAcentral is "partial 16S ribosomal RNA". It matches the Rfam family "Bacterial small subunit ribosomal RNA", at positions 28 to 507 of the family's 1533-position model. The record is from RNAcentral.